UGGCCUACCCAACGUGGUCUACCGGAUAUGAAAGAACUUAACAAAGAAAGAAGAAAAGUAACUAUUACAUGCGCCACCAAUGUCCUGGAACCAAUAAUCGACUGCACGAAGUUUUCAUCCUGUAAACGUCUUCUUCGAACCACCGCUUAUGUCCUUCGAUUCUGCCAUAAUGUCCGAGCGAAGUUAUCCCGCAACAAGGACUUUCCCACCUACGAAGGUCCUCUUAACCCCAUAGAGAUCCAGAGUGCAGAAGAAUACUGGCUAAAGAUUGCUCAAAUCGACCUUAUGAAGCGGAUGAAGAAAGGAGACUUUAAAACGUUAACCCCAUUCGUAGAUCCAAAAGGUAUCAUCCGAGUUGGUGGUCGUGUCAACCCAAGUCUUGUAUCUUACGAUAACACACGCCCGGCCCUGUUGCCUCGAAAGCAUUGGAUUUCUGUACUCGUCAUACGCAAUGCCCACCAAAUCAGCCAUUCAGGCGUUGACACCACAACCGCAAGAACCAGAAGAAAAUAUUGGGUGAUCCGAGGUCACGACGUCGCCAAAGCAGAGAAAAAUCGUUGUACUUUAUGUAGAAAGAUCGAAGCCAAAGUAGAGAACCAGUUUAUGGCCAACUUACCUGCAUCACGCCUUCAGCCUUACACACCACCGUUUAUGUUUACCUCCUGCGAUUAUUUUAGUCCAAUAAAGGUGAAAGUCGGAAGAAAUAAAACGACAAAACAUUACGGAGUUAUAUUUACGUGCACGAACACGCGAGCUGUUCAUUGCGAACUCGCUGUUGACGCAAGUGCGAUGGAGUUUCUUCAAGUCCUACGAAGAUUCUUCUCGUACAGAGGUUACCCGAAAUUGAUGCUGUCUGAUAACGGACUUCAGAUGGUCGGAGCAGAGAACGAGCUCAGAGCUAUGAUCGAAGGUUGGGAUAAGAACAAGUUAAAGGAGUACUGUGCCGACAGAGGAAUAACGUGGCAGUUCACAACACCUCUUGCCCCCCACCAAAAUGGAUGUUCUGAGUCCAUGGUAAAGUCCUGUAAGAAAGCGAUCAAGAAAGCGAUUGGAGACACUUUAUUAACGCCGUUCGAGCUACACACGUGUCUUGUAGAAGUAGCUAAUCUGCUGAAUCAACGUCCUAUUGGUAAGCUGUCGCAAGAUCCCGAUGACGGAGCAUAUAUUUGUCCUAAUGACAUCCUCUUAGGCAGAGCCACCAACGCUGUUCCACAAGGACCGUUCCGCAAAACUAACAACCCACGUCACCGAUUCGAAUUCUGUCAAAGGAUCAUAGACUCGUUUUGGAAGAGAUGGUCUGUAGAAGUAUUGCCUCGCUUAGUACCAAGAAAACAAUGGAACAGAAAGAAUAGAAAUAUUCGCGUAGAUGACUGGGUUAUCAUCGCUGAUCCUAAUGCUGUACGGGGAAAUUGGCAAAAUGGAAGAGUUAUCCGAGUAUUCCCAGGAGAUGACGGAUUAAUCAGAAAUGUGGAAGUGAAAACAGCAACUGGAAAUUAUAGACGCCCAAUUACGAAGCUCUGUGUUAUUUAUCCUGUCGAAGGCUUUAAAGAUUAAAUGGGAUUCUCCCAUUGUCCGGGGGUAUGUUGCGUUUGAAAGCAAGAGCCGCUAGAGGACUGGGGCGAAAUAAACGAAAACAAAGAUGGCGGCCAGCACGAAGUGAAACUAAAGUAAAGAAACAAAUUAUUUAGAUUUUAUUGUUGAAGAAAGGUUAGAAACGAUGGACGUAGUCGGACAAAUGUACGUUUACCUACUUUUCGCCAUUUUGAACUUUAUUUCUUAGAUCUAUAUCGUAAACAUUGUCAUAUUUGUAUUUUGUAGCUUCAGAUUAUCUGGUAUCACAUUUAUGUAUUAUUAAAUUGAUCAAAAUCCUGAAAUGUUGCGUUCGUCGUCGUGUCUAAUCUUGAAC
This is a non-coding RNA of Paramuricea clavata, 1906 nucleotides long. Lineage: Eukaryota; Metazoa; Cnidaria; Anthozoa; Malacalcyonacea; Plexauridae. The record is from the annotation of a GenBank genome assembly.